UUUUUCGCCCAUACAGAGAUACGAAAUGACGACGCCGCCUGCAGCAACCCGUCCCUGCUUUCAAAUCCAUACAAGGCAGAGAUGAAUGAUCUCUGGUAUUGACUUUCGUCAGUGACGACCAUCUCCAGUUAUAUAGCCAUGGAUGCAUGUUGUGGAGCUCCAUUGAUUAAAGCAAGGGGAGAAGGUAAGGUCCAGCCUCUCGAAGAGGGUUAUCGUUCGUGAUUGAGAUUAUGGUGAGACAUUCGCCUAUAGCGACACAGCAUUCAUAUACCUGUAACACGUAGUCUCGAUGGCGAAGGAAAAAUACUAUGUUGUCCUGGUUGGGCAUCGGCCAGGAAUUUAUCUUACAUGAGAUGAUGCGCGAGUCGAGGUGGAGGGAUACAGUGGGGGCCGUCAUCGAGCGUUCAAGAAUUUGAGAGAGGCUAUGACAUGCUGGGAUCGUUUUUUCAGUCUGGCGAGUGCACCGCCAACACAUGGACGUGGAUCUCUCUCGGGAGAUGUGGCCACAUCAGUGGACACAGUUGAUGUCCAUCAUUCUGCAACGCUGUCUAUCCAACAGACAACCCGGGCUACUAUUUCUAGGCCCACGUCCACUGAUGAUCUCCCCCCUUCAGCAGCAAAGAGAUUUUUGGCACUCCUGA
Molecule: long non-coding RNA, 641 nt
Organism: Magnolia sinica
Lineage: Eukaryota; Viridiplantae; Streptophyta; Magnoliopsida; Magnoliales; Magnoliaceae
Exons: 3
Source: RefSeq, a predicted model, not a curated record